AACCCCAUUAAGAAGUGGGCAAAGUAAGAUCUUUGGGGAACAUGGAUGCUUAUUGCCUCUGCCUUCCUUGGCUGUCUACAUGG
Small nucleolar RNA from Cercocebus atys (sooty mangabey), 83 nucleotides. The record is from Ensembl. NCBI's taxonomy places the organism in Eukaryota, Metazoa, Chordata, Mammalia, Primates, Cercopithecidae.